AUUGAACGCUGGCGGCAGGCCUAACACAUGCAAGUCGUGCGGAAGGAGGGAGCUUGCGCCUGGCGUCAGCGGCGGGCGGGUGUGUAAUGCCUAGGAACCUCCCUGGUCGUGGGGGAUAAGGUCGGGAAACGGGCGCUAAUACCGCAUACGUCCUGUGCGAGAUAGUGGGGGUUGUUCAGACCUCACGCUAUCAGAUGAGCCUAGGUCGGAUUAGCUAGUUGGUGGGGUAAUGGCCUACCAAGGCGACGAUCGGUAACUGGUCUGAGAGGGUGAUCAGGCACACUGGGACUGAGACACGGUCCAGACUCCUACGAGAGGCAGCAGUGGGGAAGAUUGGACAAUGGGCGGAAGCCUGAUCCAGCCAUGCCGCGUGUGUGAAGAAGGGCUUCGUAUUGUAUAGCACUUUUAGUUGGGAGGAAGGGCAGUAAGUGAAUACCUUGCUGUUGUGACGGUACCAACAGAAUAAGCACCGGCUAACUUCGUG
RNAcentral lists this ribosomal RNA (484 nucleotides) under uncultured bacterium. RNAcentral's name for it is "partial 16S ribosomal RNA". It matches the Rfam family "Bacterial small subunit ribosomal RNA", at positions 30 to 507 of the family's 1533-position model. The record is from RNAcentral.